Molecule: transfer RNA, 68 nt
Filed under: Entemnotrochus rumphii
Lineage: Eukaryota; Metazoa; Mollusca; Gastropoda; Pleurotomariida; Pleurotomariidae
Description: tRNA-Arg
Source: RNAcentral
AGACAAGAAGCGAGUAUUCGCUUACGGUUUCGGCCCGUAGAAUGGUAGUGCAAACCUGCCCUUGUUUA